CCUGGGAACUGCGUUNUGAACUGGGUGACUAGAGUGUGUCAGAGGGAGGUAGAAUNCCACGUGUAGCAGUGAAAUGCGUAGAGAUGUGGAGGAAUACCGAUGGCGAAGGCAGCNUCCUGGGAUAACACUGACGUUCAUGCCCGAAAGCGUGGGUAGCAAACAGGAUUAGAUACCCUGGUAGUNCACGCCCUAAACGAUGUCGAUCAGCUGUUGGGCAGCAUGACUGCUUAGUAGCGAAGCUAACGCGUGAAAUCGACCGCCUGGGGAGUACGGUCGCAAGAUUAAAACUCAAAGGAAUUGACGGGGACCCGCACAAGCGGUAGAUGAUGUGGAUUAAUUCGAUGCAACGCGAAGAACCUUACCUGGUCUUGACAUGUACGGAACCCUCCAGAGACGGAGGGGUGCCUUCGGGAGCCGUAACACAGGUGCUGCAUGGCUGUCGUCAGCUCGUGUCGUGAGAUGUUGGGUUAAGUCCCGCAACGAGCGCAACCCUUGUCAUUAGUUGCCAUCAUUAAGUUGGGCACUCUAAUGAGACUGCCGGUGACAAGCCGGAGGAAGGUGGGGAUGACGUCAAGUCCUCAUGGCCCUUAUGACCAGGGCUUCACACGUCAUACAAUGGUCGGUACAGAGGGUAGCCAAGCCGCGAGGUGGAGCCAAUCUCACAAAACCGAUCGUAGUCCGGAUUGCACUCUGCAACUCGAGUGCAUGAAGUCGGAAUCGCUAGUAAUCGCAGGUCAGCAUACUGCGGUGAAUACGUUCCCGGGUCUUGUACACACCGCCCGUCACACCAUGGGAGUGGGGGAUACCAGAAGUA
RNAcentral lists this ribosomal RNA (814 nucleotides) under uncultured bacterium. RNAcentral describes it as "bacterial SSU rRNA". It matches the Rfam family "Bacterial small subunit ribosomal RNA", at positions 613 to 1428 of the family's 1533-position model. The record is from RNAcentral.